Molecule: long non-coding RNA, 4454 nt
Organism: Apis cerana (Asiatic honeybee)
Lineage: Eukaryota; Metazoa; Arthropoda; Insecta; Hymenoptera; Apidae
Source: RefSeq, a predicted model, not a curated record
CACACGUCCGCGAUUUAUUUUCAUGGUAUCAAGCAAAUCAUUCAGUAACACGCAUUCCAUCAGCCGGAUGCUCGCACGCAUUAUCUACGCUAGGAAGAAAACUACGAUAGCACUCUCAUCCUGUAAUCUAUCGAUCUAUCUCAGAAUGUUUCAUCGUUUCGGCCAAUCGAAAACGAGGGAAAUCCUUAAAAGAGGGAAACGCGACGCCUCAGCAACAAAAAAAAAAAAUCGUCGGGGACAAAAUCGUGACGACCUCGAACGUCCACGCGACUCUAAUCGCAUAAAUCCAGUUAACAUCGAGGAAUCUCAUCCCUUUGGAAUUUCGCUUCUUUCGUCCACGCGCCCGCCCCUUCCAAGCCUGUCACCGCCAAUUCCCAUAGGGUGCAGCGUAGAAAUGCCCUCCAGAAAUCAUCCUAGUCGCUUAAUUGAAUCGCUGACUUUGAUGAAUAUCGGCUCCGACCGUCGCGCGAGGGGCACUUUAUUUUCUCCCUGCCUGUUUCCCCUCCCCUCCCCCCGUGUCCCAGGCCAACGGAAUCCCGCACCUUGUCGUCGAUGCCGACUUCUUGCAUGCUCGUUCGCUCGUGUAAUUACGAGGCCGCCGCUCGUGGACCGCGAAACGUGGAUCGGGAUCGAACCGAGUUGUCCUGGCAGUUUUGCCUAAAUGAAGGGGGAGUUCGAUAGACAGAGGGAUUAUGGCGGAGGAAAAUGUGCAUGGUAACCCCGCUGAGAAAGUUUUGAAAGGAUGGUCUUAAAUUUCAUAAAAUUUUUGGGCUCGAAGAAGACAUUUUUCCACGAAUGGAAUUCUUUGGCCAGCGAUAUUUUCGAAGAGGAUGAAUUUGAUCGGCAAACGAGAAGAUUAUCAAAAAUGGGCUACGAUUCCAUUGUUCGUGCGAUUCAAUGAGCCGUCCUCGAGAGCUUCUUCCUCGUCUUAUUCGUGGAACAAUUCGUUUGGGAUAAAUUAACUUACGAAAUGCCGUUCUAAAAAUGAAUCGAAUUCCGAACGAAAGAGAGCUCGAAGAAAUACGCGUGGCGAAUAAUGGGAUUCUGCUCUGGCAAGACAUUGAAUGAAAAAAAGGGGAGGGGGAAAGAAAGGAAGAGAGAAAGAGAGAGAGAGAGAAGGGAGAAGGAGGAACGCCUUAAGGUAUUUUCACCGCCGUUGUAAUAGCAUUGUAAGCUCAAAGCUUCUUGGCUAUCUUGUUUGAGAUCUCCGUGAAGAUGGACAACGAUUUUCAACGGCGCAAGCAUUAUCUCGAUUCGUAAAACAUGGGACCUGUCUGCUUAUUUUCCAGGGUAACUCCAAUAUUUGCGGAAGCUGAGUGUAAAAGGGUUGGGACGAUCCAUUGCUAGGAAGGAAAACGCGUUACACCAAAGAAUGGCGAUGUUUUCGAAUGAAGAAAGGGAAAGAGAGAUAAAAAUCGUGUACGAGUGACUAUCCUCGUCGUUGGCGAGUUGAUUAAUAUUCGUCGUUAAACUGCCCUCCUCGUAAAAUUACUUUCCGACGUUGAACAAGCGCGUAAUUGCGUAUGCUGUAUAACGACGAACUUUCGUUUUAUUUUUUAUCCUCUGUCUCUUACACCUUUGUCUCUUUCUUCUUUCCUCUUCCUCGCGAGAGGAAAAAGGUUUCUUUAAUUGUUGAACUGCGCUAAAAGAGAAAUGCGGAAUUUUUAUCUCGCAGUAUUCUCGUUUUAAAUAGAAGAAUAUGUAAUAACUUGGGAAUGAAUUUGAAGGAUUACUUCUGCAGAGUUUGUUAUAAAGUUUGUUAUUACGUAGUUUUCAUCGAAAAGAUAAUUACGUUGAAUAAUAUUCAUAAGAUGAUAUAAAACGUGUAUUCACGUUAUAAAAUAUAAUAUAAAAAUUAUUGUCUAUCAAUAAUUUCCUUGUUAAAAGGAUUUGUAAAUUUCCGAGGGAUCUCAAAUAAAAGAUAAAAUGAUUUAUAUCAUUGGGAAGAAAAAAUAAAUUUUUUAUUUUAUGAGAUAAUAAAAAUUUAAUCAAUGUUCCUAAAUUAUCUUUCUUAAUAAAUCAAAUUUUAAAUAAAUUGUAGAAUUUGAAAUAAACGUAUAGAAAAUUCUAAUAACUUUUAACUUAUAAACCAAUGUCAAUAAAUUAAUAUCCAAUCUUUAAGAAUCUUUAAGAAUUUACUUUGCAUUUAAUGAUAGAUAAGCAUUUAUUUUGAUUCUUAUUAUUUUGAAACAUUCUAAAAAAUUUUUUUUGUUCUUUCUUAUCCUACAGACCGUAAAAGUUAAAACCAAUAAACUUGUCUGACGUUAGACAUGAAUGAAAGUCUCAGGUAUUAGGUGCAUGAAUAAAUAUUGGGUGUUUGAAAUGAUGUAAAGAGAUAGAGUAAGUAUGUACAUAGGAUAUGUGGUAUAGAAUACAUAUUGACUUAGAGCAAACAAGAGCAUGAUGUGAGAGUGUUCCUUUCAAAAAAUGUAAUCUACAUAAUCUAUCAAUCUAAGGAUUACACUUGAAUUAACUAGUUACGGACUGAGAACCGACCUGGUGAAAAACAUAGGAAGAACAAAGAAUAAUGAAAAGAGAGUAAAUGACUAAAUAACUAAUAAAGAAACGUAAAUUAUUAUCAAUAAUUAAUUGGAAAACUUCUUUCAACAAAGAAAAUCACUUUGCAUGAACUUCAUAUCGGGUUAAUAAGUUUAAAUUCGUACAAAAUGAAGUUCUGUAUGGAAAAAAAAAUUUUGUUUGCAAGAUAUUGUCAUCACCCGAAGAGAUAAGAGCACCGAUAAAUUUUUAUUCAUAUUCCGUUUCUACAAAUCUGUUUUCCCUAGCUCUGAACCAAUCCAAAUCACGCACAUAAAGAUCUUCGAUUCGGCGACAUCGAGGAAGAUUUCAUGGCGAGGUUCGAGAUGGAAAAAAAAAAGGAAAGGAUGUCGAAAGUCAAACACGUAAAAUUUUGUUGCUCAAGAUGUUGCAAUUCAUCGUCGCACGGUGAUCUCAUCCGCGGCGGAUUGCAGUCGCAUUCAGAGAAGUUUAUCUCCAUUUCGCGAAGCAAAACGCGUGCCGUGUCCUUUUCUCCCCCCCUCUCUUUCUCUACUAUUCACACGAGGUUCACACCCUCUCUGUCCGUUCCGCGUUUUGUCGUCAACGGGCACAGAGAGUGAACAAGAAGAAAGGGCAUUCAUUUCGUCCCUUUUGACGGCGAUGAGACGCAAACACGGCCGUAUCUUUUUCUCUCGUUCUCUUUUUUUCCCUUACUCUUCCGCAGAUAUCUAUCCUUUCUCUAUUUCCAUGACUUUGAAUCUCAGCAGUAGAUAACUAACGUGUGGACCCACGCGGCUUCCUUCUUACCAACGUCUUCGCCUUUCGGCUCGCGCGCAAGCGGAUGUGUUUCGAAAUUUUUAAGUAUUUAAGGGGAUGAUAGAGAUAGUCUCUCUUUCUUAACGUCUCUCCGGGAACGAGUAAAUUAUUUUUUAUUUAAGAUUUAUUCCGUAGACAGAGAUCAUUAUUAUUCGUGAUGUUUUGGAAAAAUUGAGAUCACAAUUAUUCGCGUUAGGCAAAAAAAAAUUUCUUCUUUUAAAUAGUAUAAUUUUGAAGAAUCUUUAAGGCAAUUAUACUUUUAAAUUAAGUUUUUAAGUUCGGUCUCUUGAUUCAACUGUUUUUUUUUUUUAUUAAGUAAAAGAAAUAUGUUCGAUUCGGGAUCAUUGAAUAAAUUGUAGGAUUAUACAAAAAAUUUUAAAUGCAAUUAAUACAAACGUAAUCUCAAUUUCAAUUUUAAAUUUUCCCAAAAUGGAAUUUGUUUGAACAAAUUGAAAAAAAAAUGAACGAGUAAAAUAUUCACGUCUCCAUCUUCCAUUAAUAUUUUCUUUUCUCACUAAUAAUAUUUAUUUCUUGACACAAAAUAUUUAAAAAUAGUAAAUAGUAGAUUGUAAAUUUUAAAAUAUAUUCAAUUAAGUUAAAAUAUAUUCGAUUAAACUUUAUUUUCAAUUUCUUAAUUUCUCCUCUUCAAAUAUAAAAUACGAUUGUAUAAAUAAAAACUUCAAGAUACUUCAAAAAUAUAAGAGGAUUGAUCUCCUUCACAUAAAUUGAUUACUUUCUUCGUUUCAUCAAUGCUUGAAUAGAAGUAUUUCGGAACAGAAAUAACCGUCUGCAAAGGGAGAAAAGUUAGAGAAGCACUUUAACAAAAAGUUUAACAUGUGGACAUCUCUUUCCACCGAUUGAAAUUGAAAUUGAAAUCAUAUACCGUUCAAAGAUCCCGCGAAUCUUCUUAUAUCACUUUUUAUCGGACUUUCGCUCAAAUAUUUUAUCUAUAAUGAGACAAUUCUCUCGAUUCUCUCGAGCGAGUCCCGUUUUUUAAGAAUUUCAUAGUAUAGAAAAAAAGAUAUUUCAAUUAUUCGUAGAAGAAUAAAAUUAUAAAAUAAUUUCUUCAAAACUUAUCUUAACCUAGAAAUUAUUUCUUAACAAAGUUAGAAAAAAAAUAUUGAAACUUCAAAAAUUAAAAA